This 412-nucleotide ribosomal RNA is filed under the name uncultured bacterium. RNAcentral's name for it is "bacterial SSU rRNA". It matches the Rfam family "Bacterial small subunit ribosomal RNA", at positions 343 to 751 of the family's 1533-position model. The record is from RNAcentral.
GGGAGGCAGCAGUGAGGUAAUAUUGGACAAUGGACGAAAGUCUGAUCCAGCUAUGCCGCGUGCAGGAUGACGGCCCUAUGGGUUGUAAACUGCUUUUAUACAGGAAGAAAAACUCCGACGUGUCGGAACUUGACGGUACUGUAAGAAUAAGGAUCGGCUAACUCCGUGCCAGCAGCCGCGGUAAUACGGAGGAUCCAAGCGUUAUCCGGAAUCAUUGGGUUUAAAGGGUCCGUAGGCGGUUUUUUAAGUCAGAGGUGAAAUCCUGCAGCUCAACUGUAGAAUUGCCUUUGAUACUGAAAGACUUGAGUUAUUGUGAAGUGGUUAGAAUGUGUGGUGUAGCGGUGAAAUGCAUAGAUAACACACAGAAUACCAAUUGCGAAGGCAGAUCACUAACAAUAUACUGACGCUCAGG